Molecule: long non-coding RNA, 313 nt
Filed under: Physcomitrium patens
Lineage: Eukaryota; Viridiplantae; Streptophyta; Bryopsida; Funariales; Funariaceae
Description: long non-coding RNA (PPAT_LNC014723)
Source: RNAcentral
UUAUGGCAAGGUAUUAUUCUACUAUUAGACUUACAAUACUUCAUAGUGGUUUCCAACUUCAGCAGUGCUUUGCGGAUCUUAACAAAAUCUGUUUAAUCCCACGACCACUAAUGUGCUUGCUCUAUACUAGACCUUCUCCAAACAAUAUACCUCCAUGCCCACUAUGUGUCUAUGCCUAUGCCUCAAUACCUUCCUUCCUUCCUUUCUUCAAUCUCUACUCAUGUCAAGAAUGGAGAAUAAAUCUAGCCUUCAUAUUACUUCACUUUAUUGCAAUCCAAUUAAUAAUUUCCAUCAAGAAUGAACUAACUCCCUC